AAAUUGUGCUUAAUUUUAAUUGGAAAAUGUAUUGCCCGUUAGAAGAUCCGGAACCCCAACCUUGCCCUAGAAGGAAUAAGAACAAUAGUUGGUGUUUAAAGGUCUUUGGAUUUGCUUUAGGUUUUUGUGCAGCCUCAACAAUUUUUUUACUAGUUUAUUAUUCGAUUUUGUUAAAAUCUGAAAAGGAACAUGAUGUUCUAGUAAAAUUUGAGAAGAUGCUUGAGAAGAAAAAUCAAACUAAUUUUAAUUUAUAAUUUCGAAAAUUUAUGAAAAUGUAUCCAAAUACUAAUUCAGUUCUGGGGGCUCCACAUGGCAGUGGAUUUGUGUUGGACUAUUCAGUUUUAUAUGAAGGAAUAAUUGGUUGCUGUGUUACUGGAUGCGGUAUAUUUAUCUUGGUUGGAUUGGCGUUUGCUCUAAUAUAUCUCAUUCAGCCAGUAUUUAAUGCUUUUCGACCUGCAUUCAAUCAAACAAAUGAUAAAAUUCUUUUCGAUGAUAGUUGAUAUUAUU
This is a long non-coding RNA of Episyrphus balteatus (marmalade hoverfly), 507 nucleotides long. RefSeq lists it as uncharacterized. The record is from RefSeq and is a predicted model, not a curated record. Lineage: Eukaryota; Metazoa; Arthropoda; Insecta; Diptera; Syrphidae. The transcript has 3 exons.